UAUUAAUGCUCCCCUCACCUUCAUUCCCCAGCACAACUUAUUUUCAUGGUUUUAAGGACUAUCUAUUCAUAUAGUUCUUUAGAAAAUAUGGGCACAAUUUUUCUGAAAGAGGUACUUUGACCCCUGUUCUAAGCCUUAGCCUAACAGGAUGAACUGGAGUUUCAGCUACCCAGGCCUACUGGAAAUUUGGCCCAGCAGUUAUUUGGCAGUGGCCUUCAUGAGCAGCAAUGCCAGCUUCCCAUUGCAAUGCCCACAUUCAGAGAUUUGCAGAAUUAGAGUCCAAAUUCUGCUUUGCAAGCCCAGAAUGCCACUGACUUCAAGGGGAUUGUAGGAUUUUAGCCAAGAGCAGAAAUUGGCCCAGGAUUUUUUCAGACUCCCUCAUGCUUCUGUUUAUAGGAUAUUACCAUCAAGCUCUAUUAGCAUGCUCCAUGAUGCAUUUUACUUUUAAAUUACAUAAAGGAUAUUUACUGUGCUGAUGCUACAUAGUUUGCAAGAAAGAUGCACAUGUGGAAAUGAAAAAACAUCAAUUACCAUCAGGAUUUCCAGCUUUCAGCAUUCAUUUUCCAAAACAACCUAGGGACUAUUUCUCAUUAAAAAAAAAAAAAGAGCAGAAAUGAAAAUCCAAUUUCUUGGCAUUUAUGUAUUGCAUUCUGGAGCCUUACUCAUCAAGCCUGUUGUGAAAAUGGUUGGAAUAAAAAAGCCUCGUAUUGUUCAAAACUUUAA
This is a long non-coding RNA of Passer montanus (Eurasian tree sparrow), 723 nucleotides long. RefSeq lists it as uncharacterized. The record is from RefSeq and is a predicted model, not a curated record. NCBI's taxonomy places the organism in Eukaryota, Metazoa, Chordata, Aves, Passeriformes, Passeridae. The transcript has 2 exons.